Molecule: ribosomal RNA, 1467 nt
Filed under: Psychrobacter sp. MJMG7.7
Lineage: Bacteria; Pseudomonadati; Pseudomonadota; Gammaproteobacteria; Moraxellales; Moraxellaceae
Description: bacterial SSU rRNA
Rfam family: Bacterial small subunit ribosomal RNA
Source: RNAcentral
CUGGCUCAGAUUGAACGCUGGCGGCAGGCUUAACACAUGCAAGUCGAGCGGUAACAGGAGAAGCUUGCUUCUUGCUGACGAGCGGCGGACGGGUGAGUAAUACUUAGGAAUCUGCCCAGUAGUGGGGGAUAGCUCGGGGAAACUCGAAUUAAUACCGCAUACACCCUACGGGGAAAAGGGGGCGCUUGCGCUCUCGCUAUUGGAUGAGCCUAAGUCGGAUUAGCUAGUUGGUGGGGUAAAGGCCUACCAAGGCGACGAUCUGUAGCUGGUCUGAGAGGAUGAUCAGCCACACCGGGACUGAGACACGGCCCGGACUCCUACGGGAGGCAGCAGUGGGGAAUAUUGGACAAUGGGGGCAACCCUGAUCCAGCCAUGCCGCGUGUGUGAAGAAGGCCUUUUGGUUGUAAAGCACUUUAAGCAGUGAAGAAGACUCUAUGGUUAAUACCCAUAGACGAUGACAUUAGCUGCAGAAUAAGCACCGGCUAACUCUGUGCCAGCAGCCGCGGUAAUACAGAGGGUGCAAGCGUUAAUCGGAAUUACUGGGCGUAAAGCGAGCGUAGGUGGCUUAAUAAGUCAGAUGUGAAAUCCCCGGGCUUAACCUGGGAACUGCAUCUGAUACUGUUAGGCUAGAGUAGGUGAGAGGGAGGUAGAAUUUCAGGUGUAGCGGUGAAAUGCGUAGAGAUCUGAAGGAAUACCGAUGGCGAAGGCAGCCUCCUGGCAUCAUACUGACACUGAGGUUCGAAAGCGUGGGUAGCAAACAGGAUUAGAUACCCUGGUAGUCCACGCCGUAAACGAUGUCUACUAGUCGUUGGGGAACUUGAUUCCUUAGUGACGCAGCUAACGCAAUAAGUAGACCGCCUGGGGAGUACGGCCGCAAGGUUAAAACUCAAAUGAAUUGACGGGGGCCCGCACAAGCGGUGGAGCAUGUGGUUUAAUUCGAUGCAACGCGAAGAACCUUACCUGGUCUUGACAUAUCUAGAAUCCUGCAGAGAUGCGGGAGUGCCUUCGGGAAUUAGAAUACAGGUGCUGCAUGGCUGUCGUCAGCUCGUGUCGUGAGAUGUUGGGUUAAGUCCCGCAACGAGCGCAACCCUUUUCCUUAGUUACCAGCGGUUUGGCCGGGGACUCUAAGGAUACUGCCAGUGACAAACUGGAGGAAGGCGGGGACGACGUCAAGUCAUCAUGGCCCUUACGACCAGGGCUACACACGUGCUACAAUGGUAGGUACAGAGGGCUGCUACACAGCGAUGUGAUGCGAAUCUCAAAAAGCCUAUCGUAGUCCAGAUUGGAGUCUGCAACUCGACUCCAUGAAGUCGGAAUCGCUAGUAAUCGCGGAUCAGAAUGCCGCGGUGAAUACGUUCCCGGGCCUUGUACACACCGCCCGUCACACCAUGGGAGUUGAUUGCACCAGAAGUGGGUAGCCUAACUUUUAGAGGGCGCUCACCACGGUGUGGUCGAUGACUGGGGUGA